RNAcentral lists this ribosomal RNA (467 nucleotides) under uncultured bacterium. RNAcentral's name for it is "partial 16S ribosomal RNA". It matches the Rfam family "Bacterial small subunit ribosomal RNA", at positions 28 to 506 of the family's 1533-position model. The record is from RNAcentral.
GACGAACGCUGGCGGCGUGCUUAACACAUGCAAGUCGAACGGAAAGGCCCUGCUUUUGUGGGGUGCUCGAGUGGCGAACGGGUGAGUAACACGUGAGUAACCUGCCCUUGACUUUGGGAUAACUUCAGGAAACUGGGGCUAAUACCGGAUAGGAGCUCCUGCUGCAUGGUGGGGGUUGGAAAGUUUCGGCGGUUGGGGAUGGACUCGCGGCUUAUCAGCUUGUUGGUGGGGUAGUGGCUUACCAAGGCUUUGACGGGUAGCCGGCCUGAGAGGGUGACCGGCCCAAUGGGGCCGGGGAUACGGCCCAGACCCCUCCGGGGGGCAGGGGGGGGGAAUAUUGCAAAAGGGGGGGAAGCCUGAUGCAGCAACGCCGGGGGCGGGAUGACGGCCUUCGGGUGGUAAACCGCUUUCGCCUGUGACGAAGCGGGAGUGACGGUAAUGGGGAAAGAAGCACCGGCUAACUACGU